AUGGAGACCGGUGUCGGUGUAAAACCAACACUCGUUCGUAUCGACAAUGCCGAUGUGGUUGGCGCCUCGCCUCUGGACGCCGUGUUUACGGUAGUCCUCCAAGACAAGGGUACCGCCUCACGGGGCCAUCGGGAGUUAGUGUUGGUGAAGUCACGCCGCCUCCUCGCCAUCACGCCUCAUCUUCUUGGGCUCUGGGUCAUGGAGAGCAUCAUGUGGCACCAUCUUCUCCUCCAGGUCACGGACAGCACCGCCUCCCUGCUCCGUGUUGCGGGCAACACCAAGGGUGUGUGUUAUCUUCUUGGCUCCGUGUCGCGGGCUCCAUCUUGA
RNAcentral lists this ribosomal RNA (327 nucleotides) under Triticum aestivum (bread wheat). RNAcentral describes it as "partial small subunit ribosomal RNA". Lineage: Eukaryota; Viridiplantae; Streptophyta; Magnoliopsida; Poales; Poaceae. The record is from RNAcentral.